This 301-nucleotide ribosomal RNA is filed under the name uncultured bacterium. RNAcentral describes it as "partial 16S ribosomal RNA". It matches the Rfam family "Bacterial small subunit ribosomal RNA", at positions 509 to 807 of the family's 1533-position model. The record is from RNAcentral.
CAGCAGCCACGGUAAUACAGAGGGUGCGAGCGUUAAUCGGAUUUACUGGGCGUAAAGCGUGCGUAGGCGGCUUCUUAAGUCGGAUGUGAAAUCCCUGAGCUUAACUUAGGAAUUGCAUUCGAUACUGGUUAGCUAGAGUGUGGGAGAGGAUGGUAGAAUUCCAGGUGUAGCGGUGAAAUGCGUAGAGAUCUGGAGGAAUACCGAUGGCGAAGGCAGCCAUCUGGCCUAACACUGACGCUGAGGUACGAAAGCAUGGGGAGCAAACAGGAUUAGAUACCCCUGUAGUCCAUGUCUCUUAUAC